RNAcentral lists this ribosomal RNA (375 nucleotides) under uncultured bacterium. Its description in RNAcentral is "bacterial SSU rRNA". It matches the Rfam family "Bacterial small subunit ribosomal RNA", at positions 527 to 898 of the family's 1533-position model. The record is from RNAcentral.
GUAGGGGGCAAGCGUUGUUCGGAAUUACUGGGCGUAAAGGGCGCGUAGGCGGCACGGCAAGUCGGGAGUGAAAGGCCUGGGCUCAACCGAGGAACGGCUUUCGAGACUGCCGAGCUAGAGUGCGGAAGGGGCAACUGGAAUUCCCAGUGUAGCGGUGAAAUGCGUAGAUAUUGGGAAGAACACCGGAGGCGAAGGCGGGUUGCUGGGCCGACACUGACGCUGAGGCGCGAAAGCCAGGGGAGCAAACGGGAUUAGAUACCCCGGUAGUCCUGGCCCUAAACGAUGGAUACUUGGUGUGUGGGGUUCUUCGAGUCCCCGCGUGCCGGAGCUAACGCGGUAAGUAUCCCGCCUGGGGAGUACGGUCGCAAGGCUGAA